This 713-nucleotide unclassified non-coding RNA is filed under the name Homalodisca vitripennis (glassy-winged sharpshooter). RNAcentral describes it as "peptidoglycan recognition protein-like, transcript variant X1". Lineage: Eukaryota; Metazoa; Arthropoda; Insecta; Hemiptera; Cicadellidae. The record is from RNAcentral.
UCUGUAUAUUGUCUGUGUAAUCUGUGUGAGUUUAAUGUUAUGAGAUGAUAUCAGCACUUUCACGCAUUAUCGACUUCCUCGUUCAUACAGAGACACAUCAAGCGCGUACAGUGUUUAUUUGUUGUUCAUUGGUAUUGUUGUUUUACUCAUCAGCUAUUGGUUAUGCAGAAGAUACACCUGAAUUCAGUUUUGCAAGGUACGCAAAUUUCGUGGAAAGAGAAGGUUGGGGAGCAGUGCCGCCUAAAGUGUACCCUAAGCUGGAGAAAUUGUCACUACCAGUGGCCUUCGUAGUGCUCUCGUACUUCAUUCCUAGUAUCACGGACGAUGUUUUGGCCUUGCAGGUUAUACAGAGAAAUCACAUGGAUGCAGGUCUGCCAGAUAUUCAGAGCAAGGAGAAAUGGAACAAUUUACGUGGGAAGAGGCUGGAAAAUAAAACCUGCUAGAUCAUUGGACUUUCCGCAUUAUGAUGGCAAAUUUAUUGAGAUAGCCUACAUUGGAAAUUUUAACGAUGAACCAAUGUUACAUCCAAUAUAUAAUGCCACCUGGGAUCUUUUAAAAUUUGGCAUAUUUAAUAAAUAUAUAGUGGAAGAUUUUGUAAUUUUAACUGAAAAGCAUCGGAAAAUAGCAGAUUGAUAAACAGGUGUUUUAGUGAUAAAGUACAAUCUUGGAAGUAGUUAUAUUCCAUUAAGAAUAAAAGAUUCACAUUCUUUAUG